This 495-nucleotide ribosomal RNA is filed under the name uncultured bacterium. Its description in RNAcentral is "partial 16S ribosomal RNA". It matches the Rfam family "Bacterial small subunit ribosomal RNA", at positions 28 to 507 of the family's 1533-position model. The record is from RNAcentral.
GAUGAACGCUGGCGGCGUGCCUAAUACAUGCAAGUAGAACGCUGAAGGAGGAGCUUGCUCUUCUGGAUGAGUAGCGAACGGGUGAGUAACGCGUAGGUAACCUGCCUGGUAGCGGGGGAUAACUAUUGGAAACGAUAGCUAAUACCGCAUGACAACAGUUAUUGCAUGAUAACUGUUUAAAAGGGGCAACUGCUCCACUACCAGAUGGACCUGCGUUGUAUUAGCUAGUUGGUGAGGUAACGGCUCACCAAGGCGACGAUACAUAGCCGACCUGAGAGGGUGAUCGGCCACACUGGGACUGAGACACGGCCCAGACUCCUACGGGAGGCAGCAGUAGGGAAUCUUCGGCAAUGGACGGAAGUCUGACCGAGCAACGCCGCGUGAGUGAAGAAGGUUUUCGGAUCGUAAAGCUCUGUUGUAAGAGAAGAACGAGUGUGAGAGUGGAAAGUUCACACUGUGACGGUAUCUUACCAGAAAGGGACGGCUAACUACGUG